UACAGAGGUCCCAAGCGUUGUUCGGAUUCACUGGGCGUAAAGGGUGCGUAGGUGGUGGGGUAAGUCCGAUGUGAAAGCUCCGAGCUCAACUCGGAAAUUGCAUUAGAAACUACCUUGCUAGAGGGUUGGAGGGGGGACUGGAAUUCUCGGUGUAGCAGUGAAAUGCGUAGAUAUCGAGAGGAACACCAGUGGCGAAGGCGAGUCCCUGGACAACUCCUGACACUGAGGCACGAAAGCUAGGGGAGCAAACAGG
RNAcentral lists this ribosomal RNA (253 nucleotides) under uncultured bacterium. Its description in RNAcentral is "partial 16S ribosomal RNA". It matches the Rfam family "Bacterial small subunit ribosomal RNA", at positions 524 to 776 of the family's 1533-position model. The record is from RNAcentral.